GGGCAUCAUACCAUCUCUUUUGUAACUGUGCUCUAUCCAAUCUCUACCUAUUUUAUUACUCUUAUGGGAUCAUAAAAUCCUUCAUGAAAUCUAUCUGUUAACAAGCUUGUUGUGGGCUUUGUUACCCUCUCUCUUUCUCAAGAUCACCUCAUAAACCUCUCCAAGAACAAUCAAGACCCACUUUCCAUACAUGGACUCCCUUCGAGAAUUUGACUCUACAUCCACCACUCUCCCACUUACCUCAAUAACUAGUACCACCACCGCCCCCACUGCCUCCUCCUCCUCCUCUUCCUCCACCUCCUCCACCUCCACUCUCAGCCGCUACGAGAACCAAAAGCGGCGAGACUGGAACACCUUCGGCCAAUACCUCCGCAACCACCGUCCCCCACUCUCCCUCUCACGGUGCAGCGGGGCUCACGUCCUGGAGUUCUUGCGCUAUCUAGACCAGUUUGGAAAAACCAAAGUCCACACUCAACUCUGCCCCUUCUUUGGCCACCCGAACCCCCCUGCCCCAUGCCCGUGUCCUCUCCGCCAGGCCUGGGGUAGCCUUGAUGCUCUCAUUGGCCGCCUUCGUGCUGCCUUUGAAGAGCAUGGGGGCAAGCCAGAGAACAAUCCUUUCGGGGCUCGUGCUGUUAGGCUUUAUCUACGUGAAGUUAGAGAUUCACAAGCUAAAGCUCGAGGAAUUAGCUACGAGAAGAAGAAGAGAAAGAGACCCCAACAGCAACAGCAGCAGAGUCCUGCAUUAUCGAUGGCACCACCACCAGCACCAGCGACCACUAGUGCAAGUGAUGAUCAUGAGUAAGAAUUAAAGUUACCACCCAUUUCAAUUAAAGAACAAGAGUGAGGGUAAAACUCAUUAGAAACUACUCUUUCAUAAUUUUAUUUGCAGUAUGACUAUGAGCUAGUACUCUUAUCUUCUUGUAUUAUAUUUGCGAUGUCUCUUAUUGGGUUUUAAGGAACUCCUUAGAUUGUUAGAUAAUGAACAUGGAUUUAUAUUAUAUUAUUGGGUUUUCUGUAGUCGUAGCAGUAGCAGUAAUAGUAGUAAUAGUAGAUGGAGCUGUAUGAACAUGUUUGUGACUUCAUCUCCUAUUUGUCA
This 1096-nucleotide unclassified non-coding RNA is filed under the name Hevea brasiliensis (rubber tree). Lineage: Eukaryota; Viridiplantae; Streptophyta; Magnoliopsida; Malpighiales; Euphorbiaceae. The record is from RNAcentral.